UACGGGGGGGGCAAGCGUUGUUCGGAAUUACUGGGCGUAAAGGGCUCGUAGGCGGCCAGGUAGGUCCGGUGUGAAAACUCGAGGCUUAACCUCGAGAUGUCAUCGGAAACCAUCUGGCUAGAGUCCGGAAGAGGAGAGUGGAAUUCCUGGUGUAGCGGUGAAAUGCGCAGAUAUCAGGAAGAACACCAAUGGCGAAGGCAGCUCUCUGGGACGGUACUGACGCUGAGACGCGAAAGCGUGGGGAGCGAACAGG
Molecule: ribosomal RNA, 253 nt
Filed under: uncultured bacterium
Lineage: Bacteria
Description: partial 16S ribosomal RNA
Rfam family: Bacterial small subunit ribosomal RNA
Source: RNAcentral